GAUGAACGCUGGCGGCAUGCCUAACACAUGCAAGUCGAUCGGUAAGGCCCUUCGGAGUACCCGAGAGGCGGACGGCUGAGUAACGCGUAGGAACACACCCUGCAGUGAGGGAUAAGACACCGAAAGGUGUUCUAAUACCGCAUACGGUCUUCGGAUUAAAGCAUUUAUGCGCUGAAGGAGUGGCCUGCGUCAUAUUAGAUAGUUGGUGAGGUAAUGGCUCACCAAGUCGAUGAUGUGUAGCUGGUCUGAGAGGAUGAUCAGCCAGACUGGAACUGAGACACGGUCCAGACUCCUACGGGAGGCAGCAGUGAGGAAUAUUUCACAAUGAGCGAAAGCUUGAUGGAGCAAUGCCGCGUGCAGGAUGAAGGCCCUCGGGUUGUAAACUGCUUUUAUAAGAGAAGAUUAUGACGGUAACUUAUGAAUAAGGGACGGCUAACUACGUG
Molecule: ribosomal RNA, 443 nt
Filed under: uncultured bacterium
Lineage: Bacteria
Description: partial 16S ribosomal RNA
Rfam family: Bacterial small subunit ribosomal RNA
Source: RNAcentral